AAUACGAUCGGAGGCGCGUCCGAGAUGAGUAAGGUUCUCUUUCAAGGGGAGAAUAUUGAGAGAGCCUGAAAGGCGAGGACGCCGAAGGGUGUAAGGUUUCUCCCACCUUACAUGCCUGGGGGUACAGGGAAUACCUGUGCCACUGUCACGGAAAUAUCCGUGGAGAGCCGAUCGUUGA
RNAcentral lists this non-coding RNA (178 nucleotides) under Thermosipho africanus. Its description in RNAcentral is "Lysine sequence". It matches the Rfam family "Lysine riboswitch aptamer". Rfam says of the family: Riboswitches are metabolite binding domains within certain messenger RNAs that serve as precision sensors for their corresponding targets. The record is from RNAcentral. Lineage: Bacteria; Thermotogati; Thermotogota; Thermotogae; Thermotogales; Fervidobacteriaceae.